Molecule: long non-coding RNA, 2351 nt
Filed under: Equus caballus (horse)
Lineage: Eukaryota; Metazoa; Chordata; Mammalia; Perissodactyla; Equidae
Description: lncRNA (ENSECAG00000031119.3)
Source: RNAcentral
GGACUCUGAAUUCUGGCCUGAAUCUGUCACAUAAUUUCUAAGGAGUUUUAUACACAGAACAGCCUGAACGACAGUCCAAACCACCAAGAACAGUCAUCGGUCCUGAUGGAGGCUAACGUCUCCGAGUCAGACUGGCUGUUCGCUGCUAUUUAUGUCAGAGCACGCCCAGUGGCGGAAUCAAGAUGAUGGGGCUGUGGAAGCGAAGGGGAUAGACGUACUCUGAGAACUGAAGGAGAAGGCAGAUUUGGGAAACAGAGCUGGCUGCAUGAGAAUCAGGAGUUAUCAACCACAUUUUUCUCACCACACUGAGAAGCAGAGGAGAGAAAGGGAGAGAGAGAGAAUGGAUUUUGAUGAUUUCUACCAGAUAAAGAAUUAUUAGCAGGCAAAUGAGCAAGUACAACAGAGAUUGUUCCAAAAGUCUUUGGCCCUUUGUUUACACUUUGGGAAAAAGCUGGAGGAGCAGCAAUGAUGGAAGUCGGCCUCCCUGCUGUUCUCACGUGUUUCAUAGACUCAGAUCAUUGGAAGAUGUGUUCUUAAUAGUGAGAGAGAGACCAAGAAAGUGUCUACCAAACAUCCACCAGUUGAAUUGGAGAACAUGGACAAGAUUGCUAUGUAAACUGUGAAGUUCUGAUUCUACAACAUACUGCAGGAUGGGGUUUUCAUAGGAUCUCUCUAGGCAACAAAUGGAUAGAAAUCCAUUUAUCACUGAAAAUAAGCACAAUUACUUAAUAAACUGUUUACUUGACAGCUGGCAGAGCAGAAAGGUGUAACUCGGCUCAUGGUUUGAGAUACCACUUCUACAGUGAGAGCUGCUUAUGUGUGAAACAAUACACCAUAGAAACGAACAGAAUCAUAAACAUCGGCUGUGGAGUUUGAGUGAGAUGCAAACAAGAUGGAACCUCUUGUAAUUAAAUAACUGGGAGAGAACUAGCCGUCCUGCCACCAACAACUGUAAAAGAGGAGAAAAUAUAUGAAAUAAAUGUAUUCACAUACUGGAGAACAAGAAGUACAAGAUUGUGUCCUCUAAGGGAAGGGAAAGAGCAUGUGAACAUCAGGACGGCCUGGAACAUUAGUCUAAAGGCUCUUUCUCAAUUAGAGCAUUAGGUGGUGAAACUCAAGCAGAGCACGCAGGUCUCCUUGAGCUUAGGAGACAGAGUUUGAAAGAUGAGGCUCAGAUUUCCAGUUUCUGGUCCAGCGUGGAAGAAGCUAACAAGUCAACACUUCAUCUUAUCAAAAAGUAAAAGUUGAGAAGACUGAAAAGCCAUAAGAGAAGUGAGGUCACAGGGCAAGUCAUGGCCCCUGAAAUUGGAGAGACCAACAUGCAAAUAUAGAGAAUCACAAUUUAUCGGAACAGAAACCCAAAAGGAACAACCUCUACAGAAACCAGUGGUGAGUAUAUCAUGUCCAACUAUCAAAAAAAUAAAUUAUAAGACAUACUCAAAGGCAAAAAAAUGUUUGAAGAGACAGAGCAAGCAUCAAAACCAGACUCAGACAUGGCAUAGAUAUUGGAAUUAUCUGACUACGAAUUUAAAAGGACUAUGGUUAACAUGCUAAGGGCUCUAAUGGAUAAAGUAGACAGCAUUCAGGAACAGAUAGAUAAUGUAAGAAGAGAGAUGGAAAUCCUAAGUAAGGACCAAAAAGAAAUGCUAGCGAUCAAAAACCCUGUAAGAGAAAUGAAGAAUGCCUUUGAAUGGCUCAUCAGUAGAGUGGACACAGCUGAGAAAAAAAUCUCUGAGCUUAAACAUACAGCAAUAUAAAUCUCCAAAACUGAAAAGCAAAGAGGACAGAGACUGAAAAAAACCCCAGAAUAUCCAAGGACCAUAGUACAAGUACAAAAGAUGCAACAUACAUAUAAUGGGAAUACCAGAAAUAGAAGAAAAAGAGAAGUAAGAGAAGAAAUUUUUGAAUCAAUAAUGACAGAGAAUUUCCUCCCAAAUUAAAGUCAGACAGCAAACCACAGAUCCAGGAAGCUCAGAGAAUACCCAACGGAAUAAAUGCUAAAAAACAUCCCCGAAAAACUACACCUUGGCAUGAUAGUUUCAAACUCUAGAAAAUCAAAUAUAAAGAAAAAAUCCUGAAAGAGGAAAAAAACCUCAUAUUACUUAUAGAGGAACAAAGAUAAAAAUUAUGUCUAACUUAUCCUUAGAGAUCAAGAAAACAAGAAGAGAGUGGAGUGAAAUAUUUAGUGUUGAGAGAGAAAAAAUAAUCCACCUAGAAUUCUGUACACUGCAAAAUUAUACUUAAAAGGUGAUAGAGAAAUACUUUCUAAGAAAACAAAAAUUGAGGAAAGCUUUUGCCAACAGAUUUGCCUUGCAAGACAUGUUAAAAGAAGUUCUUUAGAGAGAAGGAAA